Molecule: ribosomal RNA, 683 nt
Filed under: uncultured Bacteroidota bacterium
Lineage: Bacteria; Pseudomonadati; Bacteroidota
Description: bacterial SSU rRNA
Rfam family: Bacterial small subunit ribosomal RNA
Source: RNAcentral
AGCAUGGGGUAGCAAUACUCUGAUGGCGACCGGCAAACGGGUGCGGAACACGUACGCAACCUUCCUUUAACUGGAGAAUAGCCCCUCGAAAGAGGGAUUAAUACUCCGUAACAUGAUGAUUCCGCAUGGGAUUAUCAUUAUAGCUCCGGCGGUUAGAGAUGGGCGUGCGCCUGAUUAGGUAGUUGGCGGGGUAACGGCCCACCAAGCCUGCGAUCAGUAACUGGUGUGAGAGCACGACCAGUCACACGGGCACUGAGACACGGGCCCGACUCCUACGGGAGGCAGCAGUAAGGAAUAUUGGUCAAUGGACGCAAGUCUGAACCAGCCAUGCCGCGUGGAGGAUUAAGGCCCUCUGGGUUGUAAACUCCUUUUAUCUGGGAAGAAAUCCAUAUAUUCUUAUGUGGUUGACGGUACCAGAGGAAUAAGCACCGGCUAACUCCGUGCCAGCAGCCGCGGUAAUACGGAGGGUGCAAGCGUUAUCCGGAUUCACUGGGUUUAAAGGGUGCGUAGGCGGGUAAGUAAGUCCGUGGUGAAAUCUCUGAGCUUAACUCAGAAACUGCCGUGGAUACUAUUUGCCUUGAAUAUUGUGGAGGUGAGCGGAAUAUGUCAUGUAGCGGUGAAAUGCUUAGAUAUGACAUAGAACACCAAUUGCGAAGGCAGCUCACUACACAAUCAUUGACGCU